Molecule: ribosomal RNA, 379 nt
Filed under: uncultured eukaryote
Lineage: Eukaryota
Description: partial 18S ribosomal RNA
Rfam family: Eukaryotic small subunit ribosomal RNA
Source: RNAcentral
CAAUAGCGUAUAUUUAAGUUGUUGCAGUUAAAAAGCUCGUAGUUGGAUUUCGGAUGGGACUUGCCGGUCCGUCGUUUCGAUGUGCACUGGCCAGUCCUAUCUUGUUGUCGGGGACUAGCUCCUGGGCUUCACUGUCCGGGACUAGGAGCUGACGAGGUUACUUUGAGUAAAUUAGAGUGUUCAAAGCAAGCCUACGCUCUGAAUACAUUAGCAUGGAAUAACACGAUAGGACUCUGGCUUAUCUUGUUGGUCUGUGAGACCAGAGUAAUGAUUAAGAGGGACAGUCGGGGGCAUUCGUAUUUCAUUGUCAGAGGUGAAAUUCUUGGAUUUACGAAAGACGAACUUCUGCGAAAGCAUUUGUCAAGGAUGUUUNCAUUAA